Molecule: ribosomal RNA, 479 nt
Filed under: uncultured bacterium
Lineage: Bacteria
Description: bacterial SSU rRNA
Rfam family: Bacterial small subunit ribosomal RNA
Source: RNAcentral
GGAUGAAGGCCUUCGGGUUGUAAACCCCUUUCAGCAGGGACGAAGCGAAAGUGACGGUACCUGCAGAAGAAGCGCCGGCUAACUACGUGCCAGCAGCCGCGGUAACACGUAGGGCGCAAGCGUUGUCCGGAAUUAUUGGGCGUAAAGAGCUCGUAGGCGGUCUGUUGCGUCCGCUGUGAAAACUCGGGGCUUAACCCCGAGCCUGCAGUGGAUACGGGCAGACUAGAGGUAGGUAGGGGAGAAUGGAAUUCCCGGUGUAGCGGUGAAAUGCGCAGAUAUCGGGAGGAACACCGGUGGCGAAGGCGGUUCUCUGGGCCUUACCUGACGCUGAGGACCGAAAGCGUGGGGAGCAAACAGGAUUAGAUACCCUGGUAGUCCACGCCGUAAACGUUGGGCGCUAGGUGUGGGACCCUUCCACGGGUUCCGUGCCGCAGUUAACGCAUUAAGCGCCCCGCCUGGGGAGUACGGCCGCAAGGCUA